AGCCGGCCUGAAAGGGCGACGGCCACACUGGGACUGAGACACGGCCCAGAGUCCUAGGGGAGGCAGCAGUGGGGAGUAGUGCACAAUGGGCGAGAGCCUGAUGCAGCGACGCCGCGUGAGGGAGGACGGCCUUCGGGUUGUAAACCUCUUUCAGCAGGGAAGAAGCGAAAGUGACGGUACCUGCAGAAGAAGCGCCGGCUAACUACGUGCCAGCAGCCGCGGUAAUACGUAGGGCGCAAGCGUUGUCCGGAAUUAUUGGGCGUAAAGAGCUCGUAGGCGGCUUGUCACGUCGGUUGUGAAAGCCCGGGGCUUAACCCCGGGUCUGCAGUCGAUACGGGCAGGCUAGAGUUCGGUAGGGGAGAUCGGAAUUCCUGGUGUAGCGGUGAAAUGCGCAGAUAUCAGGAGGAACACCGGUGGCGAAGGCGGAUCUCUGGGCCGAUACUGACGCUGAGGAGCGAAAGCGUGGGGAGCGAACAGGAUUAGAUACCCUGGUAGUCCACGCCGUAAACGGUGGGCACUAGGUGUGGGCAACAUUCCACGUUGUCCGUGCCGCAGCUAACGCAUUAAGUG
Molecule: ribosomal RNA, 570 nt
Filed under: Streptomyces albus
Lineage: Bacteria; Bacillati; Actinomycetota; Actinomycetes; Kitasatosporales; Streptomycetaceae
Description: bacterial SSU rRNA
Rfam family: Bacterial small subunit ribosomal RNA
Source: RNAcentral